ACUCAAAGGAAUAGACGGGGGCCCGCACAAGCGGUGGAGCAUGUGGUUUAAUUCGACGCAACGCGCAGAACCUUACCAGCCCUUGACAUGGCGGCUGCGGCCUCGUGAGAGCGGGGCUUCCCUUCGGGGGGCCGUUACAGGUGCUGCAUGGCUGUCGUCAGCUCGUGUCGUGAGAUGUUGGGUUAAGUCCCGCAACGAGCGCAACCCUUACCUCUAGUUGCCAGCGGGUUGGGCCGGGCACUCUAGAGGGACCGCCGGUGACAAGCCGGAGGAAGGCGGGGAUGACGUCAAGUCCUCAUGGCCCUUAUGGGCUGGGCUACACACGUGCUACAAUGGCGGUGACAGUGGGCAGCGAAAGCGCAAGCUGGAGCUAAUCCCCAAAAGCCGUCUCAGUUCGGAUCGCGGGCUGCAACUCGCCCGCGUGAAGGUGGAAUCGCUAGUAAUCGCGGAUCAGCACGCCGCGGUGAAUACGUUCCCGGGCCUUGUACACACCGCCCGU
Molecule: ribosomal RNA, 499 nt
Filed under: uncultured bacterium
Lineage: Bacteria
Description: partial 16S ribosomal RNA
Rfam family: Bacterial small subunit ribosomal RNA
Source: RNAcentral